GGAGAGGUGGCAGAGUGGCCGAUCGCGCCUCCUUGCUAAGGAGGUAACGCCGUAAGGUGUUCGUGGGUUCGAAUCCCACCCUCUCCGCCA
This 90-nucleotide transfer RNA is filed under the name Planctomycetota bacterium. RNAcentral's name for it is "tRNA-Ser". It matches the Rfam family "tRNA". From Rfam's summary of the family: Transfer RNA (tRNA) molecules are approximately 80 nucleotides in length. Their secondary structure includes four short double-helical elements and three loops (D, anti-codon, and T loops). Lineage: Bacteria; Pseudomonadati; Planctomycetota. The record is from RNAcentral.